RNAcentral lists this long non-coding RNA (3515 nucleotides) under Cricetulus griseus (Chinese hamster). Its description in RNAcentral is "lncRNA (ENSCGRG00015030782.1)". Lineage: Eukaryota; Metazoa; Chordata; Mammalia; Rodentia; Cricetidae. The record is from RNAcentral.
CGCCCACACCGGCCGCAGGACCCGCCUCCCAUAGGGCCGCGGGGCUGUCAAUCCGCCCCCAAAAGGCGCGCGGGCUGUGGCCCCGCCGGUCCCCAUUGGUGGCCGCGCGCGGUCUAUGCAAAUGAGGCCCCGCCCCGUCGGUUUGCAUCCCCGCCCCUCCGCUGCCGCGGCCCACGUGUCUGGCCCCUGGCCUUUGUGGGGGCCGGAGAGCGGGGAUGGAGGAAGCCGGCCGACACCUCUCGGCGGCGUCCUUGGCCUCCAGACUAAGCGCCGCCAAGUCUCUGCCCCGCCUGCUGCCCACCCAGCCCGCCCUUCACCAGCCUGGACCCCGGACAGCAACCUCGUGAGCUCGAAGAUGCUCCUUAGACCCCGGGAAAAGCCAAAACAGCACCUCGCUGCUCUCUCGGGACGCCCGAGCGCGUUUGAGUGCCCGCCUGCUGUGUGUCUGCGCACUGCGUGGGUGCGGUGGCCCGCAGAGGCCGGAAGAGGGCGUCGGAUCUCCCAGGACUGGAGCUGUGAGCUGCCAAGGGCGUGCUGCGGGUGCCACCCAGGUCCUCUGAGAGAGGGCCGACCUCUGCAGAAAAGACAAAACUGACACAGGAACCUCCUCUUGAGCAGGGGUCCUGUCUCAGUGACGGGAAACUUCCCCUUAACCAGCCUCCCAGGGGAGCCACAAGCUGCUCACAUGAAUUCGGUCAACAGCGCCAUGUGGAUAGCAACCGUCCUGCUCACUGAUGCCAGCUGGUUUUGCAUCUAGUGGGCAAGAACUGCACCCUGUGUGGAGGAGGGCGCACGGAGGUGAGAAGGCACCGUACCAGCCCGUGACAGCUCCGGGCUCACAGGCAGGGACAUCCACACUUGAGUAACCCCCAGUUAGUUCUGUGGCACGUGUCUACAAAGAAGAGUGAAGAAGGGCUCUCCCAGAAGGUGGGAAGCUGUGAGCUCACAAAGCAUGCAGACCUGGAACGGCUUAGGAACUGAGUGAACAGCUAGGGGCAGUGUGGGCCAAUCUGCAGGGUUGUGUGGACUUGUCACAUGUUCCGAGAGGAGACUCUUCCAGGAGGAAGAAAAGCCCGGGAGGCUGCCAGGCCAUGUUGUAACACACCACAGCAAACAACAACAGGCGCUGUAGAUACAGCAGCUGCCGGCUUUUUUUUUUUUUUUUUUUUCUUCUGGGCCAGAGUAUGUGGGGGAACAGUCAGUUCUACAGUUCCGAAGACAGCCUGGCUAGCCCCACCCACUCCCCCAGAAAAACCACUCUGGCCACCAGACUUACCCUCCUCGGCAUUUUCCCUAAGCACUGAUGUCCUCGUUGUGGCUGGAGAAGUCCUGACCUGAAGCAGCGAGCAGUUCUUUGCCACGCUUAUCACUAAGGCUGGCUUCUCGGGUGUUCAUGCAAUCCAGCCUGGCCUCAAACUUGCUGUGUAGCUGAAGAUGUCCUUAAAUUCCUAAUCCUCAGCCAGGUGGUAGUGGUGCUCACGCCUUUAGUCCCAGCACUCGGGAGGCAGAAGCAGUUGGAUCUCUGCGAGUUUGAGACCAGCCUGGUCUACAAGAACUAGUUCCAGGACAGCCUCCAAAGCUACACAGAGAAACCCUGUCUUGAAAAACAAAAAACAAAAACUUUCUAACCCUCUAGUCUCCAUCUCCCAGGGGCACAUCAUCAUGCCUGGCUGGCCCUGGGAGUUUAGUAUCCGACUGUGUUCUAGUCAGGACAGUUAAGCAAGAAACACAUAGAGUGAGGUAUAGAUUGAAAAAGUAAACUUGGGCUGCUGUCCCCAUCUGCAAGCUUUGGGACCGACCUGACUGGGGUGAAAAGAAAGAAAAGGCUGGGGGUCAGGGGGGCCUCGUGUUCGGAUGAAGAUGCAACAGCAGCCCAAAACUCCUGUUUAUAUACAGCUCAUUGAGGAGGUGGGCUCAUUAUGUACAGCUGGUCUACUGUAUGCAGGCUGUCUCAGUAGGGCUCUCCACAGAGGAGCCAUCUCAGGCUGCAAUCAGUGGGAGAAGAAGGCUGUGUGGUUGACACUUUCUGCACAACUGUCAACACCUGGGCUUUAGCCAGGGGAAGACUGCCAUUCCCAUGGGUCCAAGGCCCUGGUGUCCUUUAUAUGGAUAUGCUCAUGUCAUUAGCACACAUUCACUCAGGACUUCACCCACUCCCCACAGGCUGUGGUGGUAUGGUGUGGCUCAUUUGGCAGAGUGCCAGUCUACCAUGCACAGAGCCCCGAGUUUGACCCACAGCACUGAAUAAAUAGGAUAGAGGCACUCGUCUGCAAUCCCGAAACUUGAGGAGUGGAGUCAGGGGGAUCAGAAGUUCGAGGUCAUCCUUGGCUAUUCAGUAAGGUAAAAACCAGUGUGGGAGCUAGAGAGAUGUCCUAGUGGUUGAGAGCACUGACUGCCCUUCCAGCCCCAGGUUCAAUUCCCAGCAGCUCACGACUGUCCUGUAACUCCAAUUCUAGAGGACCCAACACCCUCACACAGACAUACAUGCAGGCAAAACACCAAUGCACAUGAAAAAACAAAACAAACAAAAAACACUCCAAUCUGAGCUACAGACCCUGUUUCUGAAAGAAAGAACAGAAGGAAAGGGGGGAAGGAAGAAAGGAAGGAAGGAAGGAAGGAAGGAAGGAAGGAAGGAGAGAAGAUAGGUUGUCUUUUCUCAGAUGUAUGAUAUACUGUGCACCAAACUCGAACAAGCAUCAGAGCAAAAACACCCAGCAAGACUUUAGGACACAAACUCACUAACUAGCAGUUGUGUUUCUGUGUGCCUGAAUUGAACAAUGCAAAAUAAAAUUCAAAAUCUUAAAAAAAAAUAACUCCCAGUUUUGAUGCAUUAAAACCAGCAAAUAACAUCUUAUUUUUGUAGUACACUGAACUCAAGGCCUUGUCCGUGCUAGACCUCUCCCACCUAGCCAGAUCCCAGAACAGCACACUUCUGAAUGCACUCAACAAGAGAAGUCUAAAACUUACACGGUGAACAUUGGCAUCAUUGAAAGAAACUGAAGACCUAACAGUCCUGGGUUCAACCCCCAGUAAUACACACACAAUAAACAAAUAAAUAAAAUAUCCUUUGAGUGUUACUGAGGUGACCAUGGAGAUGACUAAUUAACUCUUUAGGAAUUGGGCCUCCAAUUAACAAGGCACCAGUUCUAGUUCCUCCAGUUUGGUUAAAGGAGACAGGGUCUAAGGGAAAAGGGAGUAAGUGUGCCAAGGACUCAGACAUGAGUCUCAUCAGAGGCACCCAGUAACCUAGUACAGUUCAACCUGUCUCUUCACAAUGCCAUGGCUCAUUGUCCCAAGGCCCAAUAUUCCUGAGUCCCAAAGUCUCCACAAGUAAAGUCUCCACAAGUAAAGUCCCAAAGUCUCCACAGGCCCAGAUCACAAAGGGCUUUGUCACGUGACGUUUCUCAUCCUCUGCAGAUGUUUAGACUGCAGAAGCAAGUCAUCCAGGGAAAUCCAAGUCACCUCCAGUGUGGGGGUGGCAUGGUAACCAGCUAUGUUUCUUUGGCUGUGACAAG